GAUUGUUCUCAUUUCAGAUCAUCCAUAUUUUGUUGGUGUCCAAUUUCAUCCAGAGUUUUCUUCUAGACCAAUGAAGCCUUCCCCCCCAUACCUGGGACUGUUACUUGCAGCAACUGGGAACCUGAAUACCUACCUGCAACAGGGUUGCAAACUGUCUUCCAGUGAUAGAUACAGCGAUGCCAGUGAUGACAGCUUUUCGGAGCCAAGGAUAACUGAGUUGGAAAUAAACUGAAAUGAAUAUAUGACUAGAAAUAAUGGGGACUGCCCACGAGGCUUCUGAAGUAAUCGAAAUCAAGAUGAAGGAGCUAGUUGAAGAAAUCACCACAUUCUAAUAGAAUCACUCUGUUCUCCACCAGAGAUGGGAUGGAAAGCCUCAAAGGGAAUCUAAUAAUCUAUAUUUUCAUGCACCAGAAGCAAAGGGGUAGUGUUCUUUUCCCUCCACAGGUAGCCUUUGGUACGUCUUAAUUUCUGUAGCUGAUUAAACUUUUCCCAACAAUCU
Carlito syrichta (Philippine tarsier) is the source of this 499-nucleotide long non-coding RNA. RefSeq lists it as uncharacterized. The record is from RefSeq and is a predicted model, not a curated record. NCBI's taxonomy places the organism in Eukaryota, Metazoa, Chordata, Mammalia, Primates, Tarsiidae. The transcript has 3 exons.